This 253-nucleotide ribosomal RNA is filed under the name uncultured bacterium. RNAcentral describes it as "partial 16S ribosomal RNA". It matches the Rfam family "Bacterial small subunit ribosomal RNA", at positions 524 to 776 of the family's 1533-position model. The record is from RNAcentral.
UACAGAGGGGGCAAGCGUUGUUCGGAAUUACUGGGCGUAAAGCGCGCGUAGGCGGACCUGCAAGUCGGGGGUGAAAGCCCGAGGCUCAACCUCGGAACUGCCUUCGAUACUGCGGGUCUCGAGUCCGGGAGAGGUGAGUGGAACUCCGAGUGUAGAGGUGAAAUUCGUAGAUAUUCGGAAGAACACCAGUGGCGAAGGCGGCUCACUGGCCCGGUACUGACGCUGAUGUGCGAAAGCGUGGGGAGCAAACAGG